Long non-coding RNA from Magallana angulata, 589 nucleotides. RefSeq lists it as uncharacterized. NCBI's taxonomy places the organism in Eukaryota, Metazoa, Mollusca, Bivalvia, Ostreida, Ostreidae. The record is from RefSeq and is a predicted model, not a curated record. The transcript has 3 exons.
AAGGUGGAAGGCUACAUCGUCAAAACAUGUCUGACUUCCGUUCGAAACGCCAUUGUGUUCCGGAUUGAUAACAUUAUGUCGUGGUACAAAAUAGCUAUACACCGUUUAAUUGAACUCUUCUAACUAAGGAGGUGAGAUAGGAAUGAAAUCACCAAAACGCUUAGAAAAUAUGUCAAUUUUCUUCCUGUUUAAAGCUUUCAACUAACAUUGAUUAUCAGCUGUUUUUACGGAAAACGUGGAAUCUAAAUAAUAUACCGUUUCCCUGCUCUGCUGCUAUUGGCAACACAAUUUUGUCAUGUCAUCUGCAACAGACGAUCAUACAUAUGUGGCGGAUUAUCGAUAUAGAUACAACUAGGUAGCAAUAGCAGUGGAAGCCCGGAUUUGCAAGCCAACUGAGGGAAAGACAGAAUUCUGAAAAGGAGCAUGUUUUUCAUUUCCACACAUGCAUGUGUAUCACUAUGGACAUCUAAUGUUUUUGUGGGAUUUUGUCCAGCAGUUUGCCUUAAAAGAAUUUUUUUAUAUUUUAGUUUCAUAUUUAUGUGGAUUCCAAUAAAAAUCAUACAAACUUAAUUCAUGAUUUUUUUUGUUU